GGGUUGUGAGGUUAAGCGACUAAGCGUACACGGUGGAUGCCCUGGCAGUCAGAGGCGAUGAAGGACGUGCUAAUCUGCGAUAAGCGUCGGUAAGGUGAUAUGAACCGUUAUAACCGGCGAUUUCCGAAUGGGGAAACCCAGUGUGUUUCGACACACUAUCAUUAACUGAAUCCAUAGGUUAAUGAGGCGAACCGGGGGAACUGAAACAUCUAAGUACCCCGAGGAAAAGAAAUCAACCGAGAUUCCCCCAGUAGCGGCGAGCGAACGGGGAGGAGCCCAGAGCCUGAAUCAGUGUGUGUGUUAGUGGAAGCGUCUGGAAAGGCGCGCGAUACAGGGUGACAGCCCCGUACACAAAAAUGCACAUGCUGUGAGCUCGAUGAGUAGGGCGGGACACGUGGUAUCCUGUCUGAAUAUGGGGGGACCAUCCUCCAAGGCUAAAUACUCCUGACUGACCGAUAGUGAACCAGUACCGUGAGGGAAAGGCGAAAAGAACCCCGGCGAGGGGAGUGAAAAAGAACCUGAAACCGUGUACGUACAAGCAGUGGGAGCACGCUUAGGCGUGUGACUGCGUACCUUUUGUAUAAUGGGUCAGCGACUUAUAUUCUGUAGCAAGGUUAACCGAAUAGGGGAGCCGAAGGGAAACCGAGUCUUAACUGGGCGUUAAGUUGCAGGGUAUAGACCCGAAACCCGGUGAUCUAGCCAUGGGCAGGUUGAAGGUUGGGUAACACUAACUGGAGGACCGAACCGACUAAUGUUGAAAAAUUAGCGGAUGACUUGUGGCUGGGGGUGAAAGGCCAAUCAAACCGGGAGAUAGCUGGUUCUCCCCGAAAGCUAUUUAGGUAGCGCCUCGUGAAUUCAUCUCCGGGGGUAGAGCACUGUUUCGGCAAGGGGGUCAUCCCGACUUACCAACCCGAUGCAAACUGCGAAUACCGGAGAAUGUUAUCACGGGAGACACACGGCGGGUGCUAACGUCCGUCGUGAAGAGGGAAACAACCCAGACCGCCAGCUAAGGUCCCAAAGUCAUGGUUAAGUGGGAAACGAUGUGGGAAGGCCCAGACAGCCAGGAUGUUGGCUUAGAAGCAGCCAUCAUUUAAAGAAAGCGUAAUAGCUCACUGGUCGAGUCGGCCUGCGCGGAAGAUGUAACGGGGCUAAACCAUGCACCGAAGCUGCGGCAGCGACGCUUAUGCGUUGUUGGGUAGGGGAGCGUUCUGUAAGCCUGUGAAGGUGUGCUGUGAGGCAUGCUGGAGGUAUCAGAAGUGCGAAUGCUGACAUAAGUAACGAUAAAGCGGGUGAAAAGCCCGCUCGCCGGAAGACCAAGGGUUCCUGUCCAACGUUAAUCGGGGCAGGGUGAGUCGACCCCUAAGGCGAGGCCGAAAGGCGUAGUCGAUGGGAAACAGGUUAAUAUUCCUGUACUUGGUGUUACUGCGAAGGGGGGACGGAGAAGGCUAUGUUGGCCGGGCGACGGUUGUCCCGGUUUAAGCGUGUAGGCUGGUUUUCCAGGCAAAUCCGGAAAAUCAAGGCUGAGGCGUGAUGACGAGGCACUACGGUGCUGAAGCAACAAAUGCCCUGCUUCCAGGAAAAGCCUCUAAGCAUCAGGUAACAUCAAAUCGUACCCCAAACCGACACAGGUGGUCAGGUAGAGAAUACCAAGGCGCUUGAGAGAACUCGGGUGAAGGAACUAGGCAAAAUGGUGCCGUAACUUCGGGAGAAGGCACGCUGAUAUGUAGGUGAAGUCCCUCGCGGAUGGAGCUGAAAUCAGUCGAAGAUACCAGCUGGCUGCAACUGUUUAUUAAAAACACAGCACUGUGCAAACACGAAAGUGGACGUAUACGGUGUGACGCCUGCCCGGUGCCGGAAGGUUAAUUGAUGGGGUCAGCGCAAGCGAAGCUCUUGAUCGAAGCCCCGGUAAACGGCGGCCGUAACUAUAACGGUCCUAAGGUAGCGAAAUUCCUUGUCGGGUAAGUUCCGACCUGCACGAAUGGCGUAAUGAUGGCCAGGCUGUCUCCACCCGAGACUCAGUGAAAUUGAACUCGCUGUGAAGAUGCAGUGUACCCGCGGCAAGACGGAAAGACCCCGUGAACCUUUACUAUAGCUUGACACUGAACAUUGAGCCUUGAUGUGUAGGAUAGGUGGGAGGCUUAGAAGUGUGGACGCCAGUCUGCAUGGAGCCGACCUUGAAAUACCACCCUUUAAUGUUUGAUGUUCUAACGUUGACCCGUAAUCCGGGUUGCGGACAGUGUCUGGUGGGUAGUUUGACUGGGGCGGUCUCCUCCUAAAGAGUAACGGAGGAGCACGAAGGUUGGCUAAUCCUGGUCGGACAUCAGGAGGUUAGUGCAAUGGCAUAAGCCAGCUUGACUGCGAGCGUGACGGCGCGAGCAGGUGCGAAAGCAGGUCAUAGUGAUCCGGUGGUUCUGAAUGGAAGGGCCAUCGCUCAACGGAUAAAAGGUACUCCGGGGAUAACAGGCUGAUACCGCCCAAGAGUUCAUAUCGACGGCGGUGUUUGGCACCUCGAUGUCGGCUCAUCACAUCCUGGGGCUGAAGUAGGUCCCAAGGGUAUGGCUGUUCGCCAUUUAAAGUGGUACGCGAGCUGGGUUUAGAACGUCGUGAGACAGUUCGGUCCCUAUCUGCCGUGGGCGCUGGAGAACUGAGGGGGGCUGCUCCUAGUACGAGAGGACCGGAGUGGACGCAUCACUGGUGUUCGGGUUGUCAUGCCAAUGGCACUGCCCGGUAGCUAAAUGCGGAAGAGAUAAGUGCUGAAAGCAUCUAAGCACGAAACUUGCCCCGAGAUGAGUUCUCCCUGACCCUUUAAGGGUCCUGAAGGAACGUUGAAGACGACGACGUUGAUAGGCCGGGUGUGUAAGCGCAGCGAUGCGUUGAGCUAACCGGUACUAAUGAACCGUGAGGCUUAACCUUACAACGCCGAAGGUGUUU
Molecule: ribosomal RNA, 2931 nt
Filed under: Escherichia coli
Lineage: Bacteria; Pseudomonadati; Pseudomonadota; Gammaproteobacteria; Enterobacterales; Enterobacteriaceae
Description: bacterial LSU rRNA
Rfam family: Bacterial large subunit ribosomal RNA
Source: RNAcentral